This 454-nucleotide ribosomal RNA is filed under the name uncultured Prevotella sp. RNAcentral's name for it is "partial 16S ribosomal RNA". It matches the Rfam family "Bacterial small subunit ribosomal RNA", at positions 341 to 792 of the family's 1533-position model. The record is from RNAcentral. Lineage: Bacteria; Pseudomonadati; Bacteroidota; Bacteroidia; Bacteroidales; Prevotellaceae.
ACGGGAGGCAGCAGUGAGGAAUAUUGGUCAAUGGACGGAAGUCUGAACCAGCCAAGUCGCGUGAAGGAUGAAGGUAUUAUGUAUUGUAAACUUCUUUAGCAGUGGAGUAAUAAGGGGAUCGCGAUCCCUGAUGCAAGUACACUGAGAAUAAGGAUCGGCUAACUCCGUGCCAGCAGCCGCGGUAAUACGGAGGAUCCGAGCGUUAUCCGGAUUUAUUGGGUUUAAAGGGAGCGCAGGCGGCGAUUUAAGCGUGUUGUGAAAUGUAGUGGCUCAACCUCUGCACUGCAGCGCGAACUGGAUUGCUUGAGUACGCGGGAAGUAGGCGGAAUUCGUCGUGUAGCGGUGAAAUGCUUAGAUAUGACGAAGAACUCCGAUUGCGAAGGCAGCCUACUGUAGCGUUACUGACGCUAAAGCUCGAAAGUGUGGGUAUCGAACAGGAUUAGAUACCCUGGUA